Unclassified non-coding RNA from Ictidomys tridecemlineatus (thirteen-lined ground squirrel), 315 nucleotides. Its record names the gene 7SK. It matches the Rfam family "7SK RNA". Rfam says of the family: 7SK was discovered as an abundant small nuclear RNA in the mid-70s but a possible function has only recently been suggested. Two independent studies have found that 7SK RNA binds the CDK9/cyclin T complex (known as elongation factor P-TEFb). P-TEFb activates transcription by phosphorylating the C-terminal domain of RNA polymerase II. The record is from Ensembl. Lineage: Eukaryota; Metazoa; Chordata; Mammalia; Rodentia; Sciuridae.
AGGUGUGAGAGCAAUCUGGUUGCCAUAUCUACCAACCCAUUGAUACCCAGUGUUGAUUUGAUUGAUAUAGACAGUUAGGCAUGUUUUCUUUGCAUCCCAUCCCUCCAUGUGCAUCCCUUUCAAAGCUGCAAUUCAGUUGAAGAGUCCAAAUUUUCUCAUUAGAGGAGGAUAGUUUUUCAAUAAGCAAUAGCUUAGAUCCCAGGCUAGAACUUCCAGACAAACUCUUAAGGUCCAUUGGUAGAACAUAGGGUUGUCAAGCUUCUAAAACCCUGGACAUAUCCAAAUGAAGUGGUAUGUGUGGCAGUCUGCCUUUUU